CUUACCAUGCAGUCGAACGCUGAAGCUUGGUGCUUGCACUGGGUGGAUGAGUGGCGAACGGGUGAGUAAUACGUGAGUAACCUGCCCUUGACUCUGGGAUAAGCCUGGGAAACUGGGUCUAAUACUGGAUAUGACAUGUCACCGCAUGGUGGUGUGUGGAAAGGGUUUUACUGGUUUUGGAUGGGCUCACGGCCUAUCAGCUUGUUGGUGGGGUAAUGGCUCACCAAGGCGACGACGGGUAGCCGGCCUGAGAGGGUGACCGGCCACACUGGGACUGAGACACGGCCCAGACUCCUACGGGAGGCAGCAGUGGGGAAUAUUGCACAAUGGGCGGAAGCCUGAUGCAGCGACGCCGCGUGAGGGAUGACGGCCUUCGGGUUGUAAACCUCUUUCAGCACGGAAGAAGCGAAAGUGACGGUACGUGCAGAAGAAGCGCCGGCUAACUACGUGCCAGCAGCCCG
This 461-nucleotide ribosomal RNA is filed under the name Kocuria rhizophila. RNAcentral describes it as "bacterial SSU rRNA". It matches the Rfam family "Bacterial small subunit ribosomal RNA", at positions 48 to 517 of the family's 1533-position model. Lineage: Bacteria; Bacillati; Actinomycetota; Actinomycetes; Micrococcales; Micrococcaceae. The record is from RNAcentral.